UAGGGGAUAUUGCACAAUGGGCGGAAGCCUGAUGCAGCAACGCCGCGUGAGUGAUGAAGGCCCUCGGGUCGUAAAACUCUUUUCAAGAGGAAGAGGAAGGACGGUACUCUUGGAAUAAGCCUCGGCUAACUACGUGCCAGCAGCCGCGGUAACACGUAGGAGGCGAGCGUUAUUCGGAUUUACUGGGCGUAAAGCACGUGUAGGCGGCUGAUCAAGUUGGAUGUGAAAGCUCCCGGCUUAACUGGGAGAGGACGUUCAAAACUGAACAGCUUGAGUAUGAGAGAGGAAAAUGGAAUUCCGGGUGUAGUGGUGAAAUGCGUAGAUAUCCGGAGGAACACCAGUGGCGAAGGCGAUUUUCCGGCUCAAGACUGACGCUCAGACGCGAAGGCUAGGGUAGCAAACGG
Molecule: ribosomal RNA, 404 nt
Filed under: uncultured bacterium
Lineage: Bacteria
Description: bacterial SSU rRNA
Rfam family: Bacterial small subunit ribosomal RNA
Source: RNAcentral